CUUAUGAAGUUAGCGGCGGACGGGUGAGUAACACGUGGGUAACCUGCCCAUAAGACUGGGAUAACUCCGGGAAACCGGGGCUAAUACCGGAUAACAUUUUGAACCGCAUGGUUCGAAAUUGAAAGGCGGCUUCGGCUGUCACUUAUGGAUGGACCCGCGUCGCAUUAGCUAGUUGGUGAGGUAACGGCUCACCAAGGCAACGAUGCGUAGCCGACCUGAGAGGGUGAUCGGCCACACUGGGACUGAGACACGGCCCAGACUCCUACGGGAGGCAGCAGUAGGGAAUCUUCCGCAAUGGACGAAAGUCUGACGGAGCAACGCCGCGUGAGUGAUGAAGGCUUUCGGGUCGUAAAACUCUGUUGUUAGGGAAGAACAAGUGCUAGUUGAAUAAGCUGGCACCUUGACGGUACCUAACCAGAAAGCCACGGCUAACUACGUGCCAGCAGCCGCGGUAAUACGUAGGUGGCAAGCGUUAUCCGGAAUUAUUGGGCGUAAAGCGCGCGCAGGUGGUUUCUUAAGUCUGAUGUGAAACGCCCACGGCUCAACCGUGGAGGGUCAUUGGAAACUGGGAGACUUGAGUGCAGAAGGAAA
RNAcentral lists this ribosomal RNA (591 nucleotides) under Bacillus cereus. RNAcentral's name for it is "bacterial SSU rRNA". It matches the Rfam family "Bacterial small subunit ribosomal RNA", at positions 83 to 658 of the family's 1533-position model. The record is from RNAcentral. Lineage: Bacteria; Bacillati; Bacillota; Bacilli; Caryophanales; Bacillaceae.